Molecule: ribosomal RNA, 323 nt
Filed under: uncultured bacterium
Lineage: Bacteria
Description: bacterial SSU rRNA
Rfam family: Bacterial small subunit ribosomal RNA
Source: RNAcentral
CAAUUUGGNUUUGGGGGGGAACUCAUGAAGGAGGACUGCCCGGGGUUUCAAUUCGGGAGGGAAAGGUUGGGGAGAUGACGUCAAAUCAUCAUGCCCCCUUAUGUCCCAGGGGGCUUCACAACAUGCUACAAUGGUUCGGUACAACGGCGCAGCGAACACUGUGGAGGUGGAGCGAAUCGCUGAAAGCCGGCCUUAGUUCGGAUUGGGGUCUGCAACUCGACCCCAUGAAGUCGGAGUCGCUAGUAAUCGCAGAUCAGCAACGCUGCGGUGAAUACGUUCCCGGGCCUUGUACACACCGCCCCUGAAUCACUAGUGAAUUCGCG